AACCUGGUUGAUCCUGCCAGUAGUCAUAUGCUUGUCUCAAAGACUAAGCCAUGCGUGUCUAAGUAUAAAUGGUAUACAGUAAAACUGCGAAUGGCUCAUUAAAACAGUUAUAGUUUAUUUGGUAAUCGAAUUUACAUGGAUAACCGUGGUAAUCCUAGAGCUAAUACAUGCUGUAAAGCCCGACUUCUCGGAAGGGCCGUGUUUAUUAGAUAACAGACCAACAGCUUCGGCUAUUGUGGUGAAUCAUAGUAACUAAUCGGAUCGCAUGGGCUAGUCCCGCGACAAACCAUUCAAGUUUCUGCCCCAUCAGCUUUCGACGGUAGUGUAUUGGACUACCGUGGCUUUUACGGGUAACGGAGGAUUAGGGUUCGACUCCGGAGAGGGAGCCUGAGAAACGGCUACCACAUCUAAGGAAGGCAGCAGGCGCGUAAAUUACCCAAUUCUGAUUCAGAGAGGUAGUGACAAGAAAUAACGGGUUGGGACUUUGUCCCGGGACUGCAAUGAGAUGAACUUAUACCCCUUUUCGAGUAACAAUUGGAGGGCAAGUCUGGUGCCAGCAGCCGCGGUAAUUCCAG
Molecule: ribosomal RNA, 575 nt
Filed under: uncultured marine eukaryote
Lineage: Eukaryota
Description: SSU rRNA
Rfam family: Eukaryotic small subunit ribosomal RNA
Source: RNAcentral